Molecule: ribosomal RNA, 301 nt
Filed under: uncultured bacterium
Lineage: Bacteria
Description: partial 16S ribosomal RNA
Rfam family: Bacterial small subunit ribosomal RNA
Source: RNAcentral
CAGUAGCCGCGGUAAUACGUAGGUCCCGAGCGUUGUCCGGAUUUAUUGGGCGUAAAGCGAGCGCAGGCGGUUAGAUAAGUCUGAAGUUAAAGGCUGUGGCUUAACCAUAGUAUGCUUUGGAAACUGUUUAACUUGAGUGCAGAAGGGGAGAGUGGAAUUCCAUGUGUAGCGGUGAAAUGCGUAGAUAUAUGGAGGAACACCGGUGGCGAAAGCGGCUCUCUGGUCUGUAACUGACGCUGAGGCUCGAAAGCGUGGGGAGCAAACAGGAUUAGAUACCCCGGUAGUCCCUGUCUCUUAUACA